AUGGCGGGCAUAGUGGAUUUCGAAGAGGGAUGGCGCCUCCUGGCAACCAGCCUCGCCAAGCAAAGGAGCAUCAUCGAUGGUAGCAUGAGCAAGAGCUCUUCAGAGGAUGACAACAUGCAGCUCUACAUGUAUGUGUUGCGGUCAAUGAGACAGAUAAAUGGCGAUACUCUAUUGAAAAGGUUGGUUGACAGGUGGCGGAACCACAAGAAAAUUGUCAUAAGUGAGACGAGGUUCUUCUUCUACCUCGACCGUUACUACAUCUCACGGAAGUCACUUGUCCCACUUGAACAACUGAACUUAUGUUCUUUUCGUGAUCAGGUAUACAGUGAGCUCAAAGAUAAAAUAACAAGGACUGUGGUUGACAUGAUUAGUGACGAGAGGGAAGGCAAGGUUAUAGACCAUGCUCUUUUGAAGGAUGUACUUGAUGUGUAUGUCCAAAUUGGGCUUGGCAUGGAGUGUUACAAAGUUGAUUUUGAAAAUGCGUUUCUCGAGAGCACCAGAAAUUACUACUCAAACAAGGCCCAAACUUUGAUUUUGGAGUACAACGGCCCCGAUUCCCCUGAAUACAUGCUUAAGGUAUCAAUUGAGAGUACAUAGAAAUCAUGCA
Molecule: long non-coding RNA, 607 nt
Filed under: Oryza sativa Indica Group (long-grained rice)
Lineage: Eukaryota; Viridiplantae; Streptophyta; Magnoliopsida; Poales; Poaceae
Description: lncRNA OsMH63_12G007720
Source: RNAcentral